This 3040-nucleotide unclassified non-coding RNA is filed under the name Diabrotica virgifera virgifera (western corn rootworm). RNAcentral describes it as "protein spartin". Lineage: Eukaryota; Metazoa; Arthropoda; Insecta; Coleoptera; Chrysomelidae. The record is from RNAcentral.
UAAGUAACAUUGUGAAAGUGUACCAUUAACAUCUAGGUUUGGUAAUUUUGAAUGUUCAGUUAUUCAAGGCUAUCGAAAAAUACAAAGAAGGUAUUAGAUUGAUAGACGAAGCCUUGAGUAUACAAGUCCAAUGUCCAGAAAACCCGGAUAUCACAUGGGAAAAAGCACGCGUAAUGAUUCAAAAAAUUAAAAAGACGAGAGCCGAAGUGAUAACGCGUAUUAAUUGCAUUCAGGGUCCGUCCAGUGCUCAUACGAGUAUUUUAGGUGAAGAUCCGCCAUCGUACGAAGAAGCUAUGUCUUCUACGGACGACGAAGGACCAGUAACACCAGUAACAUACAAAGAUUUAGCUACGGCACUAAGAGAUUUGAGCGUUGAUCCGAAUCAACACAUGCACGAAGAAGUUGUUUAUACUCAUGAUAACGUUAGAGUUUAUUUUAUUUCUCCUAAUGGGGAAGUGGUUUCGACUCUACAGCCGGAGGUUUUGACAAUAUCACUAGUGAGAGGUACUGAACCAAAUGCACCUGCAGCGAUUCUUCAAGUAGGCACAUGGGUGUACCCAUUGGUUCCUGGUGUAUCUCCUUGUUAUAGAACCGACUAUGGAGCAUUUGUACUUCCGGAUCUAAACGCCGAUGUUCCUGGUUCUUCAGUUGGGAUUAUUUUACCGUCUGAUGCCGAUCAGGAGGUGUUUGACCUCUUGGAAAGCAUUCUUCACGGUAUUAUAGGUUCCACACCAACAGCAGAAGAUAUUAGGAGCUGGAGAGAAAGGAGAGCAACCGGACAAGCGGAAGAUUAUAGUACAUAUAUUUCUAAUAAAAUUGUUGAUGGAGCCCAUUUGCUCUCUCGAGGUAUUGUUCGGGGCGCAGAAAAGGCUGGCGAUUUCUUUAACAGAACCACCCCAACAAUUAUUAAUAAAGUACAACCAGCAGCAGAACCUGCCAAUGUUCCCCCUACUUUAGCUAAGACGAUACAUGUAGCAGAAUCAGCUACAAAUAAGGCAGCUAGAGUUACUGGAUUUAUAGCCGAAAGAGUUGGAGUUGCCACCGUCCGCUUGGGUCAAUACCUGGCUCCUCACAUCCAAAGAGGUGGAACUAAAUUAUUAGUUAAAGGUUUCAAGAUGCCAGAACGAGAAGCUUCAAAUAAGAUGCAAGGAGUUCUGACAGUUGCAGCUGGGGCAGUCGAAGGCUUUAGCACUGUCUACAGAGGGCUCGAAACGUCUGCAGGAGUUCUAGGAAAUAGCCUUAAAGAAAACACAGUUAAGAUUGUAGAACACAAAUAUGGAUACCCUGCAAGUACCCUAACAGGCGAUACCUUAUCAACAGUUGGUAACGUUUAUAAUAUCGCUUACAACACCAGAAUUAUAACUCCCAAAAGUCUAGCAAAACGAACUGGGGCCGGUAUAAUCCAUGGUUAUUCAAGUUCUUCGAGAGCUAGUACCUCUUUCGCUAACACAGAGAUCGGUGUCGAUACAAGAGUGAAAAGAGAAACUGAUAAUGAAAUUGAAGAAAAAAUCACUGAAGAGAAUAAUGGGCAGAAUCAAACAAAAAAAGGCUAGGUAUUUUGUUAAGAUAAUGGGAAGCAGGGACAAUAACUUGAAAUCUACAGAUAUAUGUGAUAACCAUAUUCGUUAAAGAGCGUAGGAGCAAAAUUUCGGCCAAUUUUUAAAUUGCAUUCAUUUUUUUCGAAUCCUGAAAAAAAAUAUUUUUGAAAAAUUUAAACGCAGAAUUAAACAUGACGUUAUUACCGAGGGCCGAAAAUCCCUUAGAAUAAACACAAAGUUUCUUUUGAAUGAGAUAUUUGAAAUCAAAAAGCACACUCAAUUUUCUCUUCUUUUUCACCCUUAUAACGUAUUAAAAUAAACGUUACAGAAGUUUUCAGGGACUUUCGGCCCUCGGUAAUAAUGUUAUCUUUCAUUCUACGAUUAAAUUUUUCAAAAAUACUUAUUAGCUUUUUCAGGAUUCGGAAAAAAUGAAUGCAUUUAAAAAGCAUUACCCGAAAUAUUGCGCCUACGUUCUUAAUUUAUGUAAAACUUAUUUUAUUAUAUGUUGUAUAUUGUGCGUUAUCAUUUAAAAUGCUUAUAUCAUAUUUUUAUAAAAAAAUUUAACUUUGUUGGCAACAUUAUACAAUGUAUAUGAAAUUAUUUCAAACAUAUUAUGAUUCUGUGAAUAUGUUAUGGAAGUUUUCAGAAAACAGCGAUAAGAUAAUUUUUUUUUACCGUAUUAUUUUGAUAGCAUUACAACUAACAAGCAGUAGUGUUUCUCUGUGAUCUUGAUUAUUCCAAAGUAUGUUUUUUCCGCCAGUAGGCAAAAUGUCCUAAAAAGGUUAUUGUUUGGUUAAUAAUAGAGAUGGAUCUAUUAGAACUAAAUUUAGCUUAUUAGAUUGCAGAGCGCAAGCCACUAAAAAAUUCAAAGACCCACCAAUUGGGACACAUUACCUACGCAUCAAAAGUGGUGAACAGUAAAUUUGGGAAAGCAGUUCUACUGGCUUUGGGUUCUGAAGUUGUGUUUCUGCCAGAGCGAGUGACAGAAAUUUACAAGCUAUAUGUGCAGUACUUGGUCGACAAGAAAUACUCUCUAAGUGUUUAAAAGAGCAGUAGAUGUGGGAGCAAACCGACAACCAGCCAGUUCGUUUGAAAUAAUAGAAAAUUAGAUUAGAGAUAUGCUGUGCAACUUAUAAAUACUCCUAUAUUCUAAGAGAAUACAAAGUAUGGAGAGAAAAAAUAUUAUCUGCCAAACUUAACAUCAAGAUGAAGUUGCUCAUCAAUCAAAUAUUUUUUUCCAGUUUUACUGUUUAUUCUUUUCUAUUCUAAGAAGAUGGCACGUGUACAUGAAGGAUUCCAAAAAAUAACCAGGAAACGUGCAAAUGGGCGAUAAAUAUGUGCAAAGGAAGUCAGAUUGUUAAAAAUAAUAACAACGUUACAUUAAAUCAAUUGUAUAUAUUAAUAAAUAAAAUGUAUAAAUUACAUAGCAUAUAGUGUAUUUUAUUAUUAUUAAAUAAAUUUGUUCCAUUAUAGCAUAUAAAUACAAUUAUGUAGGUAUAUAA